UACAGAGGGUGCGAGCGUUAAUCGGAAUUACUGGGCGUAAAGCGUGCGUAGACGGUUAUGUAAGUCAGAUGUGAAAGCCCCGGGCUCAACCUGGGAAUUGCAUUUGAGACUGCGUAGCUAGGGUGCGGAAGAGGGAAGCGGAAUUUCCGGUGUAGCGGUGAAAUGCGUAGAUAUCAGGAGGAACACCGGUGGCGAAGGCGGGUCUCUGGGCAGUAACUGACGCUGAGGAGCGAAAGCGUGGGGAGCGAACAGG
This 253-nucleotide ribosomal RNA is filed under the name uncultured bacterium. RNAcentral describes it as "partial 16S ribosomal RNA". It matches the Rfam family "Bacterial small subunit ribosomal RNA", at positions 524 to 776 of the family's 1533-position model. The record is from RNAcentral.